This 387-nucleotide ribosomal RNA is filed under the name uncultured bacterium. RNAcentral's name for it is "bacterial SSU rRNA". It matches the Rfam family "Bacterial small subunit ribosomal RNA", at positions 29 to 417 of the family's 1533-position model. The record is from RNAcentral.
AUUGAACGCUGGCGGCAUGCCUUACACAUGCAAGUCGAACGGUAACGCGGGGCAACCUGGCGACGAGUGGCGAACGGGUGAGUAAUGCAUCGGAACGUGCCCAGUAGUGGGGGAUAGCCCGGCGAAAGCCGGAUUAAUACCGCAUACGACCUACGGGUGAAAGCGGGGGACUCGAAAGAGCCUCGCGCUAUUGGAGCGGCCGAUGUCAGAUUAGGUAGUUGGUGGGGUAAAAGCCUACCAAGCCGACGAUCUGUAGCUGGUCUGAGAGGACGACCAGCCACACUGGGACUGAGACACGGCCCAGACUCCUACGGGAGGCAGCAGUGGGGAAUUUUGGACAAUGGGCGCAAGCCUGAUCCAGCCAUGCCGCGUGAGUGAAGAAGGCCU